CCCAUCGUAAGAGUAAGACCCCUUGAAGACGACGAGGUUGAUAGGGCAGGGGUGGAAGUGCUGUAAGGCAUGGAGCUGACUGCUACUAAUCGGUCGAGGGCUUGACCAA
This 109-nucleotide ribosomal RNA is filed under the name Bacillota bacterium. RNAcentral's name for it is "partial 23S ribosomal RNA". It matches the Rfam family "Bacterial large subunit ribosomal RNA", at positions 2813 to 2925 of the family's 2925-position model. The record is from RNAcentral. Lineage: Bacteria; Bacillati; Bacillota.